GGUUAAGCGACUAAGCGUACACGGUGGAUGCCCUGGCAGUCAGAGGCGAUGAAGGACGUGCUAAUCUGCGAUAAGCGUCGGUAAGGUGAUAUGAACCGUUAUAACCGGCGAUUUCCGAAUGGGGAAACCCAGUGUGUUUCGACACACUAUCAUUAACUGAAUCCAUAGGUUAAUGAGGCGAACCGGGGGAACUGAAACAUCUAAGUACCCCGAGGAAAAGAAAUCAACCGAGAUUCCCCCAGUAGCGGCGAGCGAACGGGGAGCAGCCCAGAGCCUGAAUCAGUGUGUGUGUUAGUGGAAGCGUCUGGAAAGGCGCGCGAUACAGGGUGACAGCCCCGUACACAAAAAUGCACAUGCUGUGAGCUCGAUGAGUAGGGCGGGACACGUGGUAUCCUGUCUGAAUAUGGGGGGACCAUCCUCCAAGGCUAAAUACUCCUGACUGACCGAUAGUGAACCAGUACCGUGAGGGAAAGGCGAAAAGAACCCCGGCGAGGGGAGUGAAAAAGAACCUGAAACCGUGUACGUACAAGCAGUGGGAGCACGCUUAGGCGUGUGACUGCGUACCUUUUGUAUAAUGGGUCAGCGACUUAUAUUCUGUAGCAAGGUUAACCGAAUAGGGGAGCCGAAGGGAAACCGAGUCUUAACUGGGCGUUAAGUUGCAGGGUAUAGACCCGAAACCCGGUGAUCUAGCCAUGGGCAGGUUGAAGGUUGGGUAACACUAACUGGAGGACCGAACCGACUAAUGUUGAAAAAUUAGCGGAUGACUUGUGGCUGGGGGUGAAAGGCCAAUCAAACCGGGAGAUAGCUGGUUCUCCCCGAAAGCUAUUUAGGUAGCGCCUCGUGAAUUCAUCUCCGGGGGUAGAGCACUGUUUCGGCAAGGGGGUCAUCCCGACUUACCAACCCGAUGCAAACUGCGAAUACCGGAGAAUGUUAUCACGGGAGACACACGGCGGGUGCUAACGUCCGUCGUGAAGAGGGAAACAACCCAGACCGCCAGCUAAGGUCCCAAAGUCAUGGUUAAGUGGGAAACGAUGUGGGAAGGCCCAGACAGCCAGGAUGUUGGCUUAGAAGCAGCCAUCAUUUAAAGAAAGCGUAAUAGCUCACUGGUCGAGUCGGCCUGCGCGGAAGAUGUAACGGGGCUAAACCAUGCACCGAAGCUGCGGCAGCGACGCUUAUGCGUUGUUGGGUAGGGGAGCGUUCUGUAAGCCUGUGAAGGUGUGCUGUGAGGCAUGCUGGAGGUAUCAGAAGUGCGAAUGCUGACAUAAGUAACGAUAAAGCGGGUGAAAAGCCCGCUCGCCGGAAGACCAAGGGUUCCUGUCCAACGUUAAUCGGGGCAGGGUGAGUCGACCCCUAAGGCGAGGCCGAAAGGCGUAGUCGAUGGGAAACAGGUUAAUAUUCCUGUACUUGGUGUUACUGCGAAGGGGGGACGGAGAAGGCUAUGUUGGCCGGGCGACGGUUGUCCCGGUUUAAGCGUGUAGGCUGGUUUUCCAGGCAAAUCCGGAAAAUCAAGGCUGAGGCGUGAUGACGAGGCACUACGGUGCUGAAGCAACAAAUGCCCUGCUUCCAGGAAAAGCCUCUAAGCAUCAGGUAACAUCAAAUCGUACCCCAAACCGACACAGGUGGUCAGGUAGAGAAUACCAAGGCGCUUGAGAGAACUCGGGUGAAGGAACUAGGCAAAAUGGUGCCGUAACUUCGGGAGAAGGCACGCUGAUAUGUAGGUGAAGUCCCUUGCGGAUGGAGCUGAAAUCAGUCGAAGAUACCAGCUGGCUGCAACUGUUUAUUAAAAACACAGCACUGUGCAAACACGAAAGUGGACGUAUACGGUGUGACGCCUGCCCGGUGCCGGAAGGUUAAUUGAUGGGGUUAGCGGUAACGCGAAGCUCUUGAUCGAAGCCCCGGUAAACGGCGGCCGUAACUAUAACGGUCCUAAGGUAGCGAAAUUCCUUGUCGGGUAAGUUCCGACCUGCACGAAUGGCGUAAUGAUGGCCAGGCUGUCUCCACCCGAGACUCAGUGAAAUUGAACUCGCUGUGAAGAUGCAGUGUACCCGCGGCAAGACGGAAAGACCCCGUGAACCUUUACUAUAGCUUGACACUGAACAUUGAGCCUUGAUGUGUAGGAUAGGUGGGAGGCUUUGAAGUGUGGACGCCAGUCUGCAUGGAGCCGACCUUGAAAUACCACCCUUUAAUGUUUGAUGUUCUAACGUUGACCCGUAAUCCGGGUUGCGGACAGUGUCUGGUGGGUAGUUUGACUGGGGCGGUCUCCUCCUAAAGAGUAACGGAGGAGCACGAAGGUUGGCUAAUCCUGGUCGGACAUCAGGAGGUUAGUGCAAUGGCAUAAGCCAGCUUGACUGCGAGCGUGACGGCGCGAGCAGGUGCGAAAGCAGGUCAUAGUGAUCCGGUGGUUCUGAAUGGAAGGGCCAUCGCUCAACGGAUAAAAGGUACUCCGGGGAUAACAGGCUGAUACCGCCCAAGAGUUCAUAUCGACGGCGGUGUUUGGCACCUCGAUGUCGGCUCAUCACAUCCUGGGGCUGAAGUAGGUCCCAAGGGUAUGGCUGUUCGCCAUUUAAAGUGGUACGCGAGCUGGGUUUAGAACGUCGUGAGACAGUUCGGUCCCUAUCUGCCGUGGGCGCUGGAGAACUGAGGGGGGCUGCUCCUAGUACGAGAGGACCGGAGUGGACGCAUCACUGGUGUUCGGGUUGUCAUGCCAAUGGCACUGCCCGGUAGCUAAAUGCGGAAGAGAUAAGUGCUGAAAGCAUCUAAGCACGAAACUUGCCCCGAGAUGAGUUCUCCCUGACCCUUUAAGGGUCCUGAAGGAACGUUGAAGACGACGACGUUGAUAGGCCGGGUGUGUAAGCGCAGCGAUGCGUUGAGCUAACCGGUACUAAUGAACCGUGAGGCUUAACCUU
Molecule: ribosomal RNA, 2906 nt
Filed under: Escherichia coli
Lineage: Bacteria; Pseudomonadati; Pseudomonadota; Gammaproteobacteria; Enterobacterales; Enterobacteriaceae
Description: 23S ribosomal RNA
Rfam family: Bacterial large subunit ribosomal RNA
Source: RNAcentral